Molecule: long non-coding RNA, 249 nt
Filed under: Sorghum bicolor (sorghum)
Lineage: Eukaryota; Viridiplantae; Streptophyta; Magnoliopsida; Poales; Poaceae
Description: long non-coding RNA (SBIC_LNC014372)
Source: RNAcentral
CCACCACACAUGCACAUCUUGAUUGAAUUAUAUGCUGAGUUCCUUUGGAUCCAUGGCUCGAUUAGUGUAUGCGCUGCUUUUCACUCCUAUGAGCUCCACUUAAAUAUUCCAUUAGCUAUAGGUAAGUGACAUUUUGGUAAGGAUCCACAAAUACCACAUAUAGAGAGACUUGAGAGAAUCAUUGCUAGGUACUUUGAGUUUUAUUUUGAAAACUUAUGAAAAACUCUGGAACAAAGGUGAAGUAUAGAC